GCAUAUGUUUUACAUUAUUAAAUUUAAAUGAAUAAUAUCUGAAACAAGAACUGACAUUUGCAUUUAAUUUAAUUCCGUAGAGACAUUUUCCCUAAACAAUAUGGAAAAUAGCCAAUAUUAGAGUCAAAAGAUAUUUGAACAGUGAGACAAUUUAGAUAAUAAACUGGUAAUGGUGAAGCAGCCGUUGGCAAAUACGUUGCUGGUAGCGUUGUUGGUGCUGGUGCCGAUGCUACACUGUUCGUGGCUAACCACGCUUAUUGAACGAAGCUCCUGCUAUGGAUUCACAAACGUUUGGAAGUUAAUUGUUUGGCAAUUUAUUAAUAUAUCAAUUAAGUAACACAUACAUACACUCUAGGUUAUUUUUUAUUUUGAUGGAGUCAAAAUGCAAUAGUAAUAAAAUAGACGAAGUUAAGAAAUAAACCAUACAACAUCUCGCGCAACACAUUAUAUGUUAUAGCUUAAAUGUUAAGAGUAAAAACAAAGUUAUAUUGAAUGUAGAGAGACAGUCAGUCAUUUAAUUUAUGUACCACCAUUAUAUUGUUUUUAUUAAAUCCUCAACAAUAAAUGAUGGAUGUAGGCAUAAUUUUAAAAAUUGUUGUACAAUAUCGUUAAAAAAAUAAAGUAUUGAUUUGGUAAAGAGAA
This is a long non-coding RNA of Stomoxys calcitrans (stable fly), 642 nucleotides long. RefSeq lists it as uncharacterized. The record is from RefSeq and is a predicted model, not a curated record. The transcript has 2 exons. NCBI's taxonomy places the organism in Eukaryota, Metazoa, Arthropoda, Insecta, Diptera, Muscidae.